This 323-nucleotide long non-coding RNA is filed under the name Brassica rapa (field mustard). Its description in RNAcentral is "long non-coding RNA (BRAP_LNC001159)". The record is from RNAcentral. Lineage: Eukaryota; Viridiplantae; Streptophyta; Magnoliopsida; Brassicales; Brassicaceae.
CUUAACUUACUUUCUCAAAAACUUCAAAACUCCAAAUUUUAAUUAACCUGACUUUUAUUAAACAUGUAAUCCGUGCGAAGCGCGGACACCGACCCUAGUUUUAUUAAAAGAAAAGAAGAGUGAAAGCAUAUUUAUAACAAAUAUUUAAUAAUUAAAGUUUUUUUCGGGACCCCUUCUCUCUCUUCGACCCCUUCUCUCUUUCUCUCUUUAAGGGCAUCUUCGACCCAACUCCAACUUUUACUUUUAAACUAGAGUAAAUGUGGAUAUGAAGUAAGAAAUGCUCCAACUUAACUCCAUAUUUCACUCUGGGGAUGAUUGGUAAG